GAGGGUGUAGCUCAGUUGGUAGAGUGCUUGCUUAGCAUGCAUGAGGCCCUGGGUUCAAUCCCCAGUACCUCCA
RNAcentral lists this transfer RNA (73 nucleotides) under Camelus bactrianus (Bactrian camel). It matches the Rfam family "tRNA". Rfam says of the family: Transfer RNA (tRNA) molecules are approximately 80 nucleotides in length. Their secondary structure includes four short double-helical elements and three loops (D, anti-codon, and T loops). RNAcentral also lists the same sequence under 2 other names. The record is from Rfam by way of RNAcentral. Lineage: Eukaryota; Metazoa; Chordata; Mammalia; Artiodactyla; Camelidae.